AGAGAGAGAGAGAGAAAUGGAAUUCUUAUAAAUAGAAGGCGAGAACAACCUCUGGAGCGGAGCGUUCGUUUCUUUCUAUUUCCAUCAGCGAAAAAAUACAAAUAUAUUUACAUACACAUAUAAUCCCCUCCUCCGGCCACCCCACCCACCCCGCCAUUUAAGCGCUGGCUCUCUGAGUAAUUAUAAUGUUUAGGGUAAACAAAGUCGUACGAUAAAUGGCUGGCUGGAUGGUUGGAUGGCUCGUUCAAAUGUAUGCGAUGAUGCGUCAGCCCCCCCACGCCCCCCCACGCCAUGCCACGCCACGCCACAGCCAUCCAGCGAGACACUCGCGAGUGGCAUGUGGCAAAGUACACCUUGAUAAUGAUAAUUAUGAAAGUAACACCGCAUCGCCCACCCACUGCGUGUGUGUGUGUGUGUGUGUGUGUCACGCAACAGAGGUGAAAAAUCCCAUGCCCCACCCACACGCGCCGUGACCUCCUCCGAGCGACGAGCGACGACAAUCAAGUUAAUUCCCCCAAGAAAUGCUGUCACUUUGAUGCAUUAGGUGCCCCGCCAGGUGAAAGCGACUCUCUGUGAUUCACCAGAGAGAGACACACAGAGACAGAGAGAGAGAGAGAGAAAUGGAGAAUAAAUUGAAUGGAAGUUCCCAUCUAAUUGUGUGUGCUGUGGGCAAACACGGAAAACCAAUCGGGGAAAAAUCAUCAAAAAGAAACAAAUAUUGAUUGGCAAACAGCAAACAGCAGAAAUAAAACGAUAGAACCUGUACUAGGAUUAAGAGCAGACUUAAAAGUGGCCACCAAAUCGGAGGCGGUGGGGGCUAAAUAUUUAUAGAGCAAACAAAUGAAUCAUCGGCGAGGAAUCGGAAUCGGAAUCGGAAGCAGAAGUGCCAUGAAUAUGAUAAUAAUUUCAUCAGAAAUUCGCAAACUAAUGAAUAUUUUUGUAUUCCACUUUUAUUUAAGGAUCCCACAGAGAAGAGCUCUUUUAUGGAGGGAUUUCUGGGGUACAGUCACCGCGUGUCUCACAGAACGACCACAUGACUAAUCGAUUAGUUAUCGAUGGAGAUCGAUAGACGAUUGACGUAAUACCAGAAGAUGAUGGCCGGGGAUGGGAAUGGAGAGUGGUGAGUGGAGAGUGGAGGGGGGGUGAAAAUAACUGCACAAACAGUAAACGGAGAGCUAUCCUGAAGAGAAUUUCUGUGGACUUUUGCUGAGUUUUAUGAUUAUUUUUAGCUCAUCGUAUAAUUCCCGUGAUUCAGUUUGUGAUUUCGCUGCAAAUAUUCAAUUAUUCUGCGGUCAAUCGGAGGUUAUUGAAACCCGUUCUAGGUCGAGAGACCACUUAGCAGUGAUAGCCCCCGCCUUCGUAUACGAGAGGAAAGCCCCCUUAAGCAUGGUUUUAUGACCAAUCAUUUAUCUAAUCCGACUGGAACUCCCCCGUCACUACGCACUUGAGCACCAUAGCCUACGGGGGACUGUACCCUGUGCCGCGCCAAUCUCGAAACAAUCGACAUCAUCACGCCACUGAGAAACCAAGUCCAUGACUGACCGCCCCGAAAAAACGCCUGACUCAGAGAACAGCUCAGAAAUUUUCCAAAACAGCCCCAGACGAGGCGCGUGCCAAGGCUCGAAGGGGAGUCGCGUGUUCGUAUGACCCGAAUUUCGGAAUAGAUUAAUGCUACUCAAAGAUGAUAAUGCUGCCACAGAUCAGGUCUUGGCAAGCUGCAUGUUUUGUUUUCAUUUGUUUUUUUUUUUGUUUUUUUGCAUUACCCCACAAAUUUUCCAUGCCGCGAAGUGUGCGUCGCGAUCUUAUCAGGUAAAGUAAAGUGAAUGGAACGAUCGGAUCCAGCCCCCGACCUGACCAUGUGAUCUGAUUGCGAGAGCCACACCUAAGUGACGGAUAGAGAGGGAGAGAGAGAGGAGACGAAGCGCGCUCUCUGAGCUUUUGUAGAGCUUUAGUUGCUAGAGUUGCUAGAAAAUGCUAUUACAGUGGGUCUUAAAUGGGGCUUUUCAAAAUAGUAGGGGGCUUAA
This 2024-nucleotide small RNA is filed under the name Drosophila pseudoobscura pseudoobscura. RNAcentral's name for it is "GA31874". The record is from RNAcentral. Lineage: Eukaryota; Metazoa; Arthropoda; Insecta; Diptera; Drosophilidae.